GGCUCAAUGGUAGAGCGCUUGCCUAGCAUGCAAGAGCACUGGGUUCAAUUCCCAA
This 55-nucleotide transfer RNA is filed under the name Ictidomys tridecemlineatus (thirteen-lined ground squirrel). RNAcentral's name for it is "Spermophilus tridecemlineatus (thirteen-lined ground squirrel) tRNA". It matches the Rfam family "tRNA", at positions 9 to 63 of the family's 71-position model. Rfam says of the family: Transfer RNA (tRNA) molecules are approximately 80 nucleotides in length. Their secondary structure includes four short double-helical elements and three loops (D, anti-codon, and T loops). Further hydrogen bonds mediate the characteristic L-shaped molecular structure. tRNAs have two regions of fundamental functional importance: the anti-codon, which is responsible for specific mRNA codon recognition, and the 3' end, to which the tRNAs corresponding amino acid is attached (by aminoacyl-tRNA synthetases). tRNAs cope with the degeneracy of the genetic code in two manners: having more than one tRNA (with a specific anti-codon) for a particular amino acid; and 'wobble' base-pairing, i.e. permitting non-standard base-pairing at the 3rd anti-codon position. The record is from Rfam by way of RNAcentral. Lineage: Eukaryota; Metazoa; Chordata; Mammalia; Rodentia; Sciuridae.